AUGGUCAUAUCGUGCUGAAACACUGGUUUCCAUAUGAUGACUGAAGUAAAGCAAUGUUGAGGCUGGUCAGUACCUAGAUGGGGGAUUGCUUGUGAAUACCAGGUGUUGUAAG
Molecule: non-coding RNA, 112 nt
Organism: Acanthosepion pharaonis
Lineage: Eukaryota; Metazoa; Mollusca; Cephalopoda; Sepiida; Sepiidae
Source: the annotation of a GenBank genome assembly